ACGCUCGACACCUACGGGAGGCAGCAGUGGGGAAUAUUGCACAAUGGGGGAAACCCUGAUGCAGCGACGCCGCGUGACUGAAGAAGUAUUUCGGUAUGUAAAGGUCUAUCAGCAAGGAAGAAGAAAGACGGUACUUGACUAAGAAGCCCCGGCUAACUACGUGCCAACAGCCGCGGUAAUCUGAGCGGGCUGGCAAGGC
This 199-nucleotide ribosomal RNA is filed under the name uncultured bacterium. RNAcentral's name for it is "partial 16S ribosomal RNA". It matches the Rfam family "Bacterial small subunit ribosomal RNA", at positions 328 to 539 of the family's 1533-position model. The record is from RNAcentral.